UGCUGCGAUAAACACACACGUUUUGGAGG
Molecule: non-coding RNA, 29 nt
Filed under: Mus musculus (house mouse)
Lineage: Eukaryota; Metazoa; Chordata; Mammalia; Rodentia; Muridae
Source: RNAcentral